UGCGUAGGCGGGCUAAUAAGUCAGUGGUGAAAUCUCUCGGCUCAACCGGGAAACUGCCAUUGAUACUGUUAGUCUUGAGUUCGGUUGAGGUAGGCGGAAUGUGUAAUGUAGCGGUGAAAUGCUUAGAUAUUACACAGAACACCAAUUGCGUAGGCAGCUUACUAGACCGACACUGACGCUGAGGCACGAAAGCGUCGGGAGCGAACAGGAUUAGAUACCCUGGUAGUCC
RNAcentral lists this ribosomal RNA (229 nucleotides) under uncultured bacterium. RNAcentral's name for it is "partial 16S ribosomal RNA". It matches the Rfam family "Bacterial small subunit ribosomal RNA", at positions 568 to 796 of the family's 1533-position model. The record is from RNAcentral.